Non-coding RNA from Epinephelus lanceolatus (giant grouper), 181 nucleotides. Lineage: Eukaryota; Metazoa; Chordata; Actinopteri; Perciformes; Serranidae. The record is from RefSeq and is a predicted model, not a curated record.
GACUGGUAAGUAUGAUUAAACCUCUUUCUUUUACAGGUAGAAGGAAAGAGGUAUAUAUUUUUUCCGUUUCAGGUUACUAGGUUGAAACAACAAGCAAGAAUCACCAAUCAAAUACACCAAUAAUAUCAACUUAAACCAUGCAGAGUACAUCAGACAAAAUAAAAGAAUACAAAACUGUAAA